UACAGAGGUCUCAAGCGUUGUUCGGAUUCAUUGGGCGUAAAGGGUGUAUAGGUGGCGCGCUAAGUCGGGUGUGAAAUUUCGGAGCUUAACUCCGAAACUGCAUUCGAUACUGGCGUGCUUGAGGACUGGAGAGGAGACUGGAAUUCAUGGUGUAGCAGUGAAAUGCGUAGAGAUCAUGAGGAAGACCAGUGGCGAAGGCGGGUCUCUGGACAGUUCCUGACACUGAGACACGAAGGCCAGGGGAGCAAACGGG
This 253-nucleotide ribosomal RNA is filed under the name uncultured bacterium. Its description in RNAcentral is "partial 16S ribosomal RNA". It matches the Rfam family "Bacterial small subunit ribosomal RNA", at positions 524 to 776 of the family's 1533-position model. The record is from RNAcentral.